RNAcentral lists this transfer RNA (69 nucleotides) under Ovis aries (sheep). The stretch from base 6 to 62 matches the Rfam family "tRNA", at positions 8 to 63 of the family's 71-position model. From Rfam's summary of the family: Transfer RNA (tRNA) molecules are approximately 80 nucleotides in length. Their secondary structure includes four short double-helical elements and three loops (D, anti-codon, and T loops). Lineage: Eukaryota; Metazoa; Chordata; Mammalia; Artiodactyla; Bovidae. The record is from Rfam by way of RNAcentral.
CCUGGUGGCUCAGAGGGUAAAGCGUCUGCCUGUAAUGCAGGAGACCCAGGUUCGAUUGCUGGGUCAGGA